RNAcentral lists this ribosomal RNA (87 nucleotides) under Vibrio parahaemolyticus. Its description in RNAcentral is "partial 16S ribosomal RNA". The stretch from base 1 to 78 matches the Rfam family "Bacterial small subunit ribosomal RNA", at positions 1456 to 1533 of the family's 1533-position model. Lineage: Bacteria; Pseudomonadati; Pseudomonadota; Gammaproteobacteria; Vibrionales; Vibrionaceae. The record is from RNAcentral.
ACGACGUUGUGGUUCAUGACUGGGGUGAAGUCGUAACAAGGUAGCGCUAGGGGAACCUGGCGCUGGAUCACCUCCUUAAACGAUGAU